Molecule: transfer RNA, 55 nt
Filed under: Oceanospirillaceae bacterium
Lineage: Bacteria; Pseudomonadati; Pseudomonadota; Gammaproteobacteria; Oceanospirillales; Oceanospirillaceae
Description: tRNA-Lys
Rfam family: tRNA
About the family: Transfer RNA (tRNA) molecules are approximately 80 nucleotides in length.
Source: RNAcentral
UAGCUCAGUUGGUAGAGCAGUUGGCUUUUAACCAAUUGGUCACAGGUUCGAAUCC